This 280-nucleotide ribosomal RNA is filed under the name uncultured bacterium. Its description in RNAcentral is "partial 16S ribosomal RNA". It matches the Rfam family "Bacterial small subunit ribosomal RNA", at positions 506 to 784 of the family's 1533-position model. The record is from RNAcentral.
UGCCAGCCGCCGCGGUAAUACGGGGGGAGCAAGCGUUGUUCGGAAUCACUGGGCGUAAAGGGCGUGUAGGCUGUUUCGCAAGUCAGAAGUGAAAUCCACCGGCUUAACCGGGUGGACUGCUUUUGAAACUGCAAGACUUGAGUACGGAAGGGGAGAGCGGAAUUCCUGGUGUAGCGGUGAAAUGCGUAGAUAUCAGGAAGAACACCGGUGGCGAAGGCGGCUCUCUGGUCCAGUACUGACGCUGAGGCGCGAAAGCUAGGGGAGCAAACCGGAUUAGAUA